Podarcis raffonei (Aeolian wall lizard) is the source of this 499-nucleotide long non-coding RNA. RefSeq lists it as uncharacterized. The record is from RefSeq and is a predicted model, not a curated record. The transcript has 3 exons. NCBI's taxonomy places the organism in Eukaryota, Metazoa, Chordata, Lepidosauria, Squamata, Lacertidae.
ACCCGGGAGGCGGGGCGUAGCCGGAGAAGCAGCAGAAGCGGCGAAAGGGAGUCAGCGUAGGCGGGACGUCCCGUCGCCAUGGCUCCGAGUUCGGUCGUGCUAUUGGUCGCCGCCGUGGAACGGAAGCCGAAGACGGGCGUCGCCCUUUGGCCUCCGGAAGUGUUCGGGGGAAGGCUGUCUGAGAGUGCAAGGCGUGAGGGGGAAGGCCUGGGACGGUGCGCCGGCUUUGAAUGAAUCGGGCUGAUUCAUCGCGGCCCGGCUGAGCGGAAGGCGGCGGCGAGCGCGGCUGUCGGCGAGACGGAAGGGCUCGAGCGGCCAGGAUCUAAAACAACCAGAGGCGGCUGCAAAAGACGCAGUUCAGAAGCAAGGGGCGGCGUGCUUCUCUGACCCAUCGGGACUCGGGUUUCUAAUUUCGGUUGGAAUUAAGCUUUACCUACACUAGAAUUUGGACAGCCAACUGAGAUCAGGAAGAGAGUUUUUUAAAGGAACAGAAAACUGG